UAUUUAUUUAUUUGACAGAUCACAAGUAGGCAGAGAGGCAGGCAGAAAGAGGGGGGAAGCAAGGCUCCCUGCUGAGGAGAGAGCCUGAUGCUGGGCUUGAUCCCAGGACCCUGAGAUCAUGACUUCAGCCAAAGGCAGAGGCCCAACCCACUGAGCCACCCAGGCAUCCCCAUACUGCAUUUUAAACCCUGUCUUCUCCCUACCCAGUAUUUGAGUGCCCACUAUGCACGCACAUAGCACAUGCCACACACAUGGUUCCUGGCCCUCUUGGAGCUUGGUGUUCAGCAGGGCAGAUGAGCAGUUACCACAGGGGGCAAAGAGGGCCAGGUCAGGCAUAAGCAAGGGUAUGUUCAAGCACAUCACAAUGGCCAGCUGCAUCUGACAGGUACAAGUAGAAGUCUCCUCCCCUGGGAGCCAAAGUUGAGACCUGUAGCCUGGGUGAUAGUUGUGGGGGCGAGGUGGGCCUGGGGGAAGAGGUGGUAAGCGACAGAGGGCUCACCCAACCUGCCUCUGGCCAGCUAGGAAGCGGUUCCAGGUUUCCCCCCUGCCUUCUUGAAUCAGUCUGUACCCCUUCUCCUGGCUCACAGGGUUCUUCCCAUCCUGACCUGGCCAUUAAGGUCCCAGGCACACCAAAGAACAUUCACUUCUUCCAAGUAUGCCUAUGCUGCCCUGUGAUGCUGCCCUCCAUCUAAAAGCAAUCACUAUGAGAACAUAUGUUUUUCUUUGAUUUAGCCAAAUUUUAGUAGGGCUUGUCAGGAAAAAGCAAGUCUGAGUGAUUUCAAGGUGUGGAGGGGACACUCCAGCAUCUAACUUACUCUUCUUGGCUACCAGGAGACCCAGCGACCUGCCUCACCAGCUCUGUGUGGCUAGGUUUAGACUUGGGUAAAACUCACUUUUCCUCCACACAGUACAAGCAGGGAGGGAGAGCUUUGUAUAUUUGAAAAGUCCAUCUGCGUCAUGAAUUCUCAUUCAUAUUCACUUCAAUCCAUGAAUUUUUUUUUCUGAUUGACUUCCCAGAUCUUCCCAGCUCUGUGGUCAAAGUAGGAGAGCAGAGAAUUUGAAAAGUAGCCUUUCCACCUGCUCCUCCUGGCUGUGCCCUAGAAGAUGGUCCCUCUGCCAUACUUUCUAGAAUCCACUGAGACCAAAGUUAAACCACGCCAUCCUCAGCUGCAGGGACCCUGUGCAAGAUCAUUCAUGAGACACCAGCACCGCCUCCGUGGCCUCCGUGGAUCAUUCAUGCCCACUACAUGCCUUUGGAGUGGAAAUUCCCAGCAGGUGUCACAAUAUGACCUAGAGGAACUCAUCCAUGUUCUGAUAUUAAAUCAACCUUUCAUUCCUGGGAUAAAAUCUACUUGGUCAAAUCCUUUAUGUUGAGACCAAGCUAUUCCAAAUGUGGCUCUCAGGGGAAGAUCUAGGCCAGAGGAAAUCAACUUAAGUCAUUGAAGUAAACAGCAUUGUUUAGGAUAUGUGAAUAUAAGAUCAAGAUUUAAGAGCUGCUUAGAGAUGAAAUCCGCAUCUGAGCAAAGGCCCCAGAGGUAAGGGAAAAAACGAGGGGUGUAAUGUCACAAGUCUAGUCUUUCAAAUGAAGUAUUCAGCAGUUUAAAGUAGUAGUAUGUGUCAAGACAAAGUGGAAUCUGAACUUAAAAAGUUUCAGUGGAGUGAUAAUGGCAGAAACCAAUCUCACAUGGGUUCACUGGUAAUUGGUGAGAUGCAAUGUCAAAAGACAGUAACGGUAAGGAAUUAGGUUGUUUUUUUUUUUUUAAAGAUUUUAUUUAUUUAUUUAUUUGACAGAGAGAGAUCACAAGUAGGCAGAGAGGCAGGCGGGGGGUGGAGGGGGAAGCAGGCUCCCUGCUGAGCAGAGAGCCCGAUUCGGGGCUUGAUCCCAGGACCCUGGGAUCAUGACCCGAGCAGAAAGCAGAGGCUUUAACCCACUGAGCCACCCAGGUGCCCCAAGGAAUUAGUUUUUGAAGGGGAAAAAAGCAGGGGGUUGAGGAUGAAAAGAUGUUUUUAAAAAAAAAACCCGAAACAGUUUGGUCCUAUCUAAAGAAAGGAAAGGACCCAUUUAGAGUUGAAGAUAGUGAAGGAAUGCAAUGAAGGAACACAAUGGCUGUUUAAGACUCAGGGUGGAUUACUUUAAGUUCAAGGUUUGGGUAGAGUCUGGGAGUAUUUCAGUUCUUGACAGGAUGCUGGUGCACAAGCCAGUUUGGGAGCCAGGGUAAUCACAGAGCAGACUUUGUAAGGAGUUUGGAAAGGAUGUUGUCUCUAGUACAGAUCCUGGAUUCUUUUCUUUUCUUUUGGAGUCUGAGGAAGAACUUGUAGUGGGGGCAGGUACAGACAGAUUAGGUGAUGCAGUUCAGGAAGUUUUCCAUUUUUUUCCUCUGAACUAAUUUGCUUGUAGAGUUGGAGGAAGGUGAAGAUUUCCUAAGACUGGAGGUUUCACCUUGCCUUAAAUGAUGGGUGUCUUGCUCCUGUUGAGGACCUUUGAGGAUGGGAACCACCAAUCCUGUAGUGGCGCCAGCCUGUGCCCCCAUGUGGUUUUCUGUGGCCAUGCUCAGCAGCCCAACAGUCAGAGGCAGACUGAGCGGAACUCAGCUGAGAUUUUGGGUUUGGCCGCACAGUUAUAAAAUAAUGACAGUAAAACAAAGGAGUCUAGGAUCUUGCCAAGAAAGUGGCAGAAGUAGUAAGAGGACAGAUCUAAGCUGGAUGGAGAGCUAAGUGAAGAAAGAUGACUUUUAGUGGAACUCCUAAUGAGAAUAAAAAAUUUGGUAUAUUUUGGGUUUGACUAUUUCAAACAUAAGACCUUUAUAGGACCAGCUUUUGUUCAUUUUUAUCACCAACAAUGCUACACUGUAGGGGGAUGGAGCUGUAUGUAAGAAAAUCCCUACUCUCAGAAACAUGGUUUCUCAGAAACAUUUUAUAGCAGAGUGUGUCAGUAAGAACACUCAGUAGAAUGAUUGGCACAAUCAACAGAUCAAGGUGAAAGGUACUAAAGAUGUGUGGGAAGGGACUCUAUUCAGCACAGGGUAAGAGGUGGAUUAUCAGGGAAGCAUUCAUAUAAAAACUCCCCCAAGUAGGUCUUAAAUACAGAAAGACAGCUACAAGCAGAAUAGGGACAAAAAAUUAUUGUGAGUAGACCAGUAGCACAGGCAAAGGCAGCAGAGUAUAGGAAAAGCCUGAUUAGGAGUUAAAGUUUAUGGAAAAAUAAUGUAAGAUAAGGCUAUGAAAGUAAUUAAAAAAAAUUUUUUUUUAAAGAUUUUAUUUAUUUAUUUGACAGAGAGAGAUCACAAGUAGAUGGAGAGGCAGGCAGAGAGAGAGAGAGAGAGAGAGGGAAGCAGGCUCCCUGCUGAGCAGAGAGCCCGAUGCGGGACUCGAUCCCAGGACCCUGAGAUCAUGACCUGAGCCGAAGGCAGCGGCUUAACCCACUGAGCCACCCAGGCGCCCCUGUGAAAGUAAUUUAAACUCAAAUUACAGAGAGCCUUAAAUGUGCUCAUGAAUUGGGGACUUUAUUCAGUAGGCAGUGAGAGGAGUUUGUGAACAUGACUGAGAUGUGCUGUAGGAAGACUGGCCAUCCAGAAGGAAAUCCUUAUCGCCAUCCUUAUUUAAGGCCUCACUCAACAGCUCUCAAUGGGACUGCACAAAAGAGUCAUCUUGAGUGAGUGCUUUGAAAGAUACCUGAUGGGUCUACCCACCAGAAAUAUCCACCUGGUCCCUUUCAGCUCGGGGGAGGCUCAGGCAUUUAAAAGUACUCCAGAGGAUCCUAAUCCAGGACCAGGGUUGAAAGGCAUGGUCUCUUCUGUGUAGUUUAUGUUGAUACAGUAAGGCUCAAAUCAGACAGUAAUAAAGGAAAGCAGGAUGGAUGGAUGGAUGGAUAUGUUAAAUUCUGGGGGUAAAACAAAAACAAAAACCUACCUGUAACAAGCUAAACUGACCCAGCAAAAUUAAAACUAAAAGCACACCAUUACACCAUUCCCAUCACAAAAGAAAAACAGAUAUCGAAUAUAUACAAUUUAUUUAAUAAAUUAAUGUCAUUCAAAAUACAGUGCCAGAACAUGAUGCAGUUGAACAUGCUAGUAAGGUUUGUCAUGAAGCACCUGUGCUCAUGUUAGAUUGGCGGCGCCCCGCUACUGCUAGUGGUUCCUGGGAUUAAUGCCAGAGCAGCACUAGUUACCUGCUCAUCUGCACGGCUAGUGCAGAGAAUUCCUGAACAGUUCACCUUUCUACUCCUACCCCCCCCACACACACAACAGGUUAAAAAAAAACCACACACACACCCUGACAGCUAAUGGAUAACUAUACACAGUCACUCUACAGUAAUGCUUGUUAUUAAAUUAGGAUGUAAUGACCUGGUUAACCCACUCUAAAUCUUUAAGAUGGAGAAAUACAACAGCAGCAGGUAGUUAUAUGCAUGAGCCAAUGUUAAUGUAAUACAGAAAGUGGAGGCAUUUACUGAUUAAAGCUCCACACAGACCCGCACAACGAGGGACUAGCAAUUCUUAUUGCAAGCCCAGCAACUUAAGUCCACACCUGGUAAAUGACCAGCUAAUUGGAAGACCUGUAUUCUAGAUAGACAAGUAUAAGUUAGUGAAGAGAGAAUACAUGCACCUAAUAGUAUAGUUAGACUGAUCCUGCAGUCAUAGCUUUCCCUGUGCAAUACCAUAAAAUGGAAGAUCUUCCUCAACUAUAGUAAAGGAUUUUGACAACAUUUCUAUACCAACAUGGACACUAGUGUCAAGUGCAGCUGAAUUAAUUACACUGGGAAAAAAAAAAGUAUUCUAAGACUUCAGAAAAGAAGCACGGGAAUGAAAUACAUAUACUAAAAUAACCUCGGCACAAUUUGUGAUAUACCACACUAGGAACAGGAAACUACUUUAAUAAGUGAACUUUUUGAACUGUACAUAACACAGGGCUAACAAUGUUAUUAGAUAAUCCAGAUUCUUAUGCUCUCAUGAUACAUGUAGAAGUUUCUCAAUUAUUGGAUAAUCUAUUUCAUAUUAUGGAAGCAUAUCUUUCUGUAAGACUCACGGAUAUAUAUUAUACUGAUGCAAAUAUUAAGUAGGGCAUAAAAAUAAAAUUUAUCAAAGAUAGACUUUUAUGUACUCAUAUUUAGUCCUUUCAUAGCCUCUCCUGUUUAGCAAAGAAAAUGACAAAGCACAGACAUCAGGCGUGCACUCCCUCAACUCGCUGGCUAUACAGGUGGUAGUGCAACCAUUUCUCCAUCCAAUUCAAACUCCUCAGUCCCAUCCGGUGAAAAAAGGUAAGUUGGUGGUUUCCACGGAGAUUCUUCAAGGCAGGAUGGAUACAGUUUCCCCACAGUGCACCGAAAAUCUCUCCCUAAGUCCCACAGUACACGUUCAGAUAUAUGCUGCCGCAGAGACCACCGGUCAAGUUCUAGAUCAUACUGGUAGGUGACAUACUUAGCUCUCUCGUUUAAGUGGGUUUCUCGCAUAAACACACAGAGGGAAUUUGAGAUCACAACAGCUCUAACACAGGGGUCUGAGUACCUCUUAGCAGGGAUGUUGGCUGCCAUUUUCCACUCGUUUUUGUUCACAUCAUAAAUCUCCACAGUUACUGAAGACCCAUCUACAGUGCCAGAGGGGAGCCUUAUGCCAGAAUUGGUAGCAAUGUGCAACCCUCCAAUAUAGAAAAUUUUAUCACCAAAAGCCGCAGCCGAAGCAAAAGACCUGCUAGUCUGUCUCAUGGCCAUUUCUACCCAUGAAUCAGACCUGGGAAAGUAACAGUACAUGAGGUUCAGUGUCAUCACAUAAAUGCAGUCGUGAACCACAACUGCCGCACUCCACUGCCACGCACAAGGCAGAGGGCUUACCAUUGUCCACUCAUCCUUCUCAGUAUCGUAUCUUUCCACAGUCCUCCGAUUGAGUUCUCCACCUACACUGUCUCCUCCAAUUGCAUAGAUAUAGCCUUCACAGCAAACCAGAGAUGGCUUUAUACGGACAAAAAGCAUCGGGGUCUUUGGAAACCAGGUAUUUUGCUGUGCAUCAAACCAAUAAAAGCAAUUCACAGUUCUGAAGGCAGUUUGAAGUUUGCUUGUUUUACUGUGAUUUGUUUUUGUGUUUUUCAGAGGAACUUGACCCCCUGCUAUAUAGAUGUCAUUAUCAGGAGUUACAACAGUCCCAACCUUAUGCAAAUCGGCUGGUGGGCUACACAGCUUGUAAACUUUUUCUGCUUGGGGGCUGUAACAGACAGAAGAGUAAAGACUACAAGGAUUUUCUGAAGAUGCUUCAAUGAAAAUCAUCAUCUCCUCUUUAGUCAUUCCAAGUCUUGGUUUGAAAAACUUGGGCAUAGACUUAUACAGACCUUGAACCACUACAGACUUGUCAUUGGGCGGCAGGCCUUGAAACCAAGCUCUCUGUGUUACUUCGGAAAGUGCAUCAAUUCUGAUUUGGCUAAGAACUGAAGACAAAUACUGGGAUCGUGAUUCUGUGUUGUACUCUAGCCACAGCAUAGCAGCUUCGCGAACUGUCUCCUCCUUUUCAACAUUUAAAUUGUCACUACUGAGGAUGUCUAUCAGUAGGUCAUGUGACAACUGCAUGAAAGCUUCCUGGUGAUAUACAGCAGUGAACUUGUGCUCUACCAUUCUUUUAGCACUUUGUUUUAGUUCCUCACAACUGAACAGAUCAGCAAAACUCAACAAUCGCACGCAAUUCUCUGCAUUUAUUUUUUUAAUUAAGUAUUCUCGACAACGUUGUAAUACAUCUUCUACCUAAAAUGGGGAGGUGAUAAAGACAAAUUUUACUUUUAUGUAAAAUGCAAGUUUUUUUUAAAAUCCAAGUAUUAUUAAGCAAAUUCCUAUACUAUAGUUUCUAUAUUUAGAUAUGUAUGCUUGGGCAAAGAGAUAAUGCCUUUCAGUAAUAAAAUAGUUUUGCAUUUCUACUACUUGUCCAGUGGCCUACUUAAGUGUCCUAUUUAGGAGCUAACAGUGUAACAUUAAAAAUAGGCUCUUAACAAUAAAUGGUCUUAAAGGAAAAGUAUGGAAAUGUAUGUAUAAGUUCUGUACUUUUCUAGGCUUAAAAAUAUGUAAUUUUAAAAAAUGGAAACAAUGUAAAUCACAGUACAUAAAUUUAUAAUGAUUAAUGAUAAUCAUUUAUUAUAAAUGA
Molecule: long non-coding RNA, 7115 nt
Organism: Mustela lutreola (European mink)
Lineage: Eukaryota; Metazoa; Chordata; Mammalia; Carnivora; Mustelidae
Exons: 4
Source: RefSeq, a predicted model, not a curated record